GUUCAGUUCAGACUGUGAUGACUUUGAUGGUGACUAUUUCUUUGAAUUGGGCAAGUUGGAAAAGAAAAAUACACGUUGGGUACACCGUUAGCCAGAGUGCAGGCUAAUUCGGGGGAAUGUGGAAAAGCAGAAUACAAAGCCACGGACUGUAUAUUGAUCCUUGGAGAUGUUCCUGAGGUUACGGGGGAUACUUCAUGAGCAUGUAGGCUCAGUGAUAGAAAGAAAGGAUGCAUUAUUUUGUUGAAGAGGAGAGGUUCAUCGCUGUGAGAUGUCCAGUUUUCAUAAUAUGAAAGGAGCAUAUGACAGUCCUUGAACACAGAUGGAGAAAUCUGGUGGCUGAGUUACCAAAAUCAACUAAAUGCAGGUAUUGGGACCCUCUUGCAGGUCGAGAGACCCC
Molecule: non-coding RNA, 397 nt
Organism: Saimiri boliviensis boliviensis (Bolivian squirrel monkey)
Lineage: Eukaryota; Metazoa; Chordata; Mammalia; Primates; Cebidae
Source: RefSeq, a predicted model, not a curated record